GGGUUGUGAGGUUAAGCGACUAAGCGUACACGGUGGAUGCCCUGGCAGUCAGAGGCGAUGAAGGACGUGCUAAUCUGCGAUAAGCGUCGGUAAGGUGAUAUGAACCGUUAUAACCGGCGAUUUCCGAAUGGGGAAACCCAGUGUGAUUCGUCACACUAUCAUUAACUGAAUCCAUAGGUUAAUGAGGCGAACCGGGGGAACUGAAACAUCUAAGUACCCCGAGGAAAAGAAAUCAACCGAGAUUCCCCCAGUAGCGGCGAGCGAACGGGGAGCAGCCCAGAGCCUGAAUCAGUGUGUGUGUUAGUGGAAGCGUCUGGAAAGGCGCGCGAUACAGGGUGACAGCCCCGUACACAAAAAUGCACAUGCUGUGAGCUCGAUGAGUAGGGCGGGACACGUGGUAUCCUGUCUGAAUAUGGGGGGACCAUCCUCCAAGGCUAAAUACUCCUGACUGACCGAUAGUGAACCAGUACCGUGAGGGAAAGGCGAAAAGAACCCCGGCGAGGGGAGUGAAAAAGAACCUGAAACCGUGUACGUACAAGCAGUGGGAGCACGCUUAGGCGUGUGACUGCGUACCUUUUGUAUAAUGGGUCAGCGACUUAUAUUCUGUAGCAAGGUUAACCGAAUAGGGGAGCCGAAGGGAAACCGAGUCUUAACUGGGCGUUAAGUUGCAGGGUAUAGACCCGAAACCCGGUGAUCUAGCCAUGGGCAGGUUGAAGGUUGGGUAACACUAACUGGAGGACCGAACCGACUAAUGUUGAAAAAUUAGCGGAUGACUUGUGGCUGGGGGUGAAAGGCCAAUCAAACCGGGAGAUAGCUGGUUCUCCCCGAAAGCUAUUUAGGUAGCGCCUCGUGAAUUCAUCUCCGGGGGUAGAGCACUGUUUCGGCAAGGGGGUCAUCCCGACUUACCAACCCGAUGCAAACUGCGAAUACCGGAGAAUGUUAUCACGGGAGACACACGGCGGGUGCUAACGUCCGUCGUGAAGAGGGAAACAACCCAGACCGCCAGCUAAGGUCCCAAAGUCAUGGUUAAGUGGGAAACGAUGUGGGAAGGCCCAGACAGCCAGGAUGUUGGCUUAGAAGCAGCCAUCAUUUAAAGAAAGCGUAAUAGCUCACUGGUCGAGUCGGCCUGCGCGGAAGAUGUAACGGGGCUAAACCAUGCACCGAAGCUGCGGCAGCGACGCUUAUGCGUUGUUGGGUAGGGGAGCGUUCUGUAAGCCUGCGAAGGUGUGCUGUGAGGCAUGCUGGAGGUAUCAGAAGUGCGAAUGCUGACAUAAGUAACGAUAAAGCGGGUGAAAAGCCCGCUCGCCGGAAGACCAAGGGUUCCUGUCCAACGUUAAUCGGGGCAGGGUGAGUCGACCCCUAAGGCGAGGCCGAAAGGCGUAGUCGAUGGGAAACAGGUUAAUAUUCCUGUACUUGGUGUUACUGCGAAGGGGGGACGGAGAAGGCUAUGUUGGCCGGGCGACGGUUGUCCCGGUUUAAGCGUGUAGGCUGGUUUUCCAGGCAAAUCCGGAAAAUCAAGGCUGAGGCGUGAUGACGAGGCACUACGGUGCUGAAGCAACAAAUGCCCUGCUUCCAGGAAAAGCCUCUAAGCAUCAGGUAACAUCAAAUCGUACCCCAAACCGACACAGGUGGUCAGGUAGAGAAUACCAAGGCGCUUGAGAGAACUCGGGUGAAGGAACUAGGCAAAAUGGUGCCGUAACUUCGGGAGAAGGCACGCUGAUAUGUAGGUGAAGUCCCUCGCGGAUGGAGCUGAAAUCAGUCGAAGAUACCAGCUGGCUGCAACUGUUUAUUAAAAACACAGCACUGUGCAAACACGAAAGUGGACGUAUACGGUGUGACGCCUGCCCGGUGCCGGAAGGUUAAUUGAUGGGGUCAGCGCAAGCGAAGCUCUUGAUCGAAGCCCCGGUAAACGGCGGCCGUAACUAUAACGGUCCUAAGGUAGCGAAAUUCCUUGUCGGGUAAGUUCCGACCUGCACGAAUGGCGUAAUGAUGGCCAGGCUGUCUCCACCCGAGACUCAGUGAAAUUGAACUCGCUGUGAAGAUGCAGUGUACCCGCGGCAAGACGGAAAGACCCCGUGAACCUUUACUAUAGCUUGACACUGAACAUUGAGCCUUGAUGUGUAGGAUAGGUGGGAGGCUUUGAAGUGUGGACGCCAGUCUGCAUGGAGCCGACCUUGAAAUACCACCCUUUAAUGUUUGAUGUUCUAACGUUGACCCGUAAUCCGGGUUGCGGACAGUGUCUGGUGGGUAGUUUGACUGGGGCGGUCUCCUCCUAAAGAGUAACGGAGGAGCACGAAGGUUGGCUAAUCCUGGUCGGACAUCAGGAGGUUAGUGCAAUGGCAUAAGCCAGCUUGACUGCGAGCGUGACGGCGCGAGCAGGUGCGAAAGCAGGUCAUAGUGAUCCGGUGGUUCUGAAUGGAAGGGCCAUCGCUCAACGGAUAAAAGGUACUCCGGGGAUAACAGGCUGAUACCGCCCAAGAGUUCAUAUCGACGGCGGUGUUUGGCACCUCGAUGUCGGCUCAUCACAUCCUGGGGCUGAAGUAGGUCCCAAGGGUAUGGCUGUUCGCCAUUUAAAGUGGUACGCGAGCUGGGUUUAGAACGUCGUGAGACAGUUCGGUCCCUAUCUGCCGUGGGCGCUGGAGAACUGAGGGGGGCUGCUCCUAGUACGAGAGGACCGGAGUGGACGCAUCACUGGUGUUCGGGUUGUCAUGCCAAUGGCACUGCCCGGUAGCUAAAUGCGGAAGAGAUAAGUGCUGAAAGCAUCUAAGCACGAAACUUGCCCCGAGAUGAGUUCUCCCUGACUCCUUGAGAGUCCUGAAGGAACGUUGAAGACGACGACGUUGAUAGGCCGGGUGUGUAAGCGCAGCGAUGCGUUGAGCUAACCGGUACUAAUGAACCGUGAGGCUUAACCUUACAACGCCGAAG
This 2925-nucleotide ribosomal RNA is filed under the name Escherichia coli. RNAcentral's name for it is "bacterial LSU rRNA". It matches the Rfam family "Bacterial large subunit ribosomal RNA". Lineage: Bacteria; Pseudomonadati; Pseudomonadota; Gammaproteobacteria; Enterobacterales; Enterobacteriaceae. RNAcentral also lists the same sequence under 2 other names. The record is from RNAcentral.